CAACCCUUGUCCCUUAGUUACCAGCACGUUAUGGUGGGCGACUCUAAGGAGACUGCCGGUGACAAACCGGAGGAAGGUGGGGAGUGACGUCAAGUCAUCAUGGCCCUUACGGCCUGGGCUACACACGUGCUACAAUGGUCGGUACAAAGGGUUGCCAAGCCGCGAGGUGGAGCUAAUCCCAUAAAACCGAUCGUAGUCCGGAUCGCAGUCUGCAACUCGACUGCGUGAAGUCGGAAUCGCUAGUAAUCGUGAAUCAGAAUGUCACGGUGAAUACGUUCCCGGGCCUU
RNAcentral lists this ribosomal RNA (287 nucleotides) under uncultured Pseudomonas sp. RNAcentral's name for it is "partial 16S ribosomal RNA". It matches the Rfam family "Bacterial small subunit ribosomal RNA", at positions 1098 to 1382 of the family's 1533-position model. The record is from RNAcentral. Lineage: Bacteria; Pseudomonadati; Pseudomonadota; Gammaproteobacteria; Pseudomonadales; Pseudomonadaceae.